UACGUAGGGUGCAAGCGUUAAUCGGAAUUACUGGGCGUAAAGCGUGCGCAGGCGGUUGUGCAAGACAGAUGUGAAAUCCCCGGGCUCAACCUGGGAACUGCAUUUGUGACUGCACGGCUGGAGUGCGGCAGAGGGGGAUGGAAUUCCGCGUGUAGCAGUGAAAUGCGUAGAGAUGUGGAGGAGUACCGAUGGCGAAGGCAGCCCCCUGGGCCAAUACUGACGCUCAUGCACGAAAGCGUGGGGAGCAAACAGG
This 253-nucleotide ribosomal RNA is filed under the name uncultured bacterium. RNAcentral describes it as "partial 16S ribosomal RNA". It matches the Rfam family "Bacterial small subunit ribosomal RNA", at positions 524 to 776 of the family's 1533-position model. The record is from RNAcentral.